This 253-nucleotide ribosomal RNA is filed under the name uncultured bacterium. RNAcentral's name for it is "partial 16S ribosomal RNA". It matches the Rfam family "Bacterial small subunit ribosomal RNA", at positions 524 to 776 of the family's 1533-position model. The record is from RNAcentral.
UACGAAGGGGGCUAGCGUUGCUCGGAAUCACUGGGCGUAAAGCGUGCGUAGGCGGUUCGUUAAGACUGCUGUGAAAGCCCUGGGCUCAACCUGGGAACUGCAGUGGAUACUGGCGAGCUAGAGUGUGAUAGAGGAUGGUGGAAUUCCCGGUGUAGCGGUGAAAUGCGUAGAGAUCGGGAGGAACACCAGUGGCGAAGGCAGUCCCCUGGACCUGUACUGACGCUCAUGCACGAAAGCGUGGGGAGCAAACAGG